This 508-nucleotide ribosomal RNA is filed under the name uncultured bacterium. RNAcentral describes it as "partial 16S ribosomal RNA". It matches the Rfam family "Bacterial small subunit ribosomal RNA", at positions 28 to 507 of the family's 1533-position model. The record is from RNAcentral.
GACGAACGCUGGCGGCGUGCCUAAUACAUGCAAGUCGAACGCUUCUUUCCUCCCGAGUGCUUGCCCUCAAUUGGAAAGAGGAGUGGCGGACGGGUGAGUAACACGUGGGUAACCUACCCAUCAGAGGGGGAUAACACUUGGAAACAGGUGCUAAUACCGCAUAACAGUUUAUGCCGCAUGGCAUAAGAGUGAAAGGCGCUUUCGGGUGUCGCUGAUGGAUGGACCCGCGGUGCAUGAGCUAGUUGGUGAGGUAACGGCUCACCAAGGCCACGAUGCAUAGCCGACCUGAGAGGGUGAUCGGCCACACGGGGAGUGAGACACGGCCCAGACUCCUACGGGAGGCAGCAGUAGGGAAUCUUCGGCAAUGGACGAAAGUCUGACCGAGCAACGCCGCGUGAGUGAAGAAGGUUUUCGGAUCGUAAAACUCUGUUGUUAGAGAAGAACAAGGACGUUAGUAACUGAGCGUCCCCUGACGGUAUCUAACCAGAAAGCCACGGCUAACUACGUG